CCAAACUAUACCUUUUUGGAAUAUUAAUGUUCAGACAAAUAAUGUGGUAUAAUUUUCAAUAUGACUUGAACAUUUUAAAAUUUUGACCACUGUGUAAUUCUUCAACUGACCCCUAUCUGGCUGCUUAUUGACAAUUCAAGUGAAUACUCAGUUUUUUCACAAGAGUAAUAUUUAAGGAGUAUGUGUGCCAAUUUUGGUGCUUAGAUGACCAUUUGAAGA
This is a long non-coding RNA of Thalassophryne amazonica, 219 nucleotides long. RefSeq lists it as uncharacterized. The record is from RefSeq and is a predicted model, not a curated record. The transcript has 3 exons. Lineage: Eukaryota; Metazoa; Chordata; Actinopteri; Batrachoidiformes; Batrachoididae.